RNAcentral lists this long non-coding RNA (409 nucleotides) under Phoenix dactylifera (date palm). RNAcentral describes it as "long non-coding RNA (PDAC_LNC011402)". Lineage: Eukaryota; Viridiplantae; Streptophyta; Magnoliopsida; Arecales; Arecaceae. The record is from RNAcentral.
AUAUGUCAAACUCAAUUUCAUAUUCAUAUUUUUCUCAAUCUUUUAAUGAUAAUUCAAAUAAUGAAACAUUAGAAACUCUUUCUAAUUUUCAUUCUGCUUUGAUCAAAGGCUUCCUGAAUUAUCAUAUGAUUAGAAUAAAUAGGAUGCUAUCUUCUCUUACUAGAAGUGAUUAAUUCCUUGUUGACCUACUCAUAAUCUUCGUACACAAUCCACCAUAUCCAGAAGACCUCGUACAUAACUUAUUGUCAUGAAUGAGUGUAAACCAAAACAUAGGUUCAUGUGCACAAGAUACCAUGGUGAUCUCAGGUCAAAGGAUCAGUUGCACAACUCCCACUAAGAGAAUCAUCUUUUGUACAUGUAAGUAAGACUUCAUAAGAUUUCUCUUUGUAGGUCCAUUCAGUGAACUCAU